UUAACAAAGAAAAAGAAAAAUAUGGGAGGGAGAGAGGGAGAGAUGCACGUUCUCUGUUCUCUCUUUUGUUUUUCUUCUUCUUUUUCAAUUUUCCAGUGUCCCGCUUUUUCAACAAAUAACGGGGAA
Molecule: non-coding RNA, 126 nt
Filed under: Astrosyne radiata
Lineage: Eukaryota; Bacillariophyta; Fragilariophyceae; Cyclophorales; Cyclophoraceae
Source: RNAcentral